This 575-nucleotide unclassified non-coding RNA is filed under the name Hevea brasiliensis (rubber tree). The record is from RNAcentral. Lineage: Eukaryota; Viridiplantae; Streptophyta; Magnoliopsida; Malpighiales; Euphorbiaceae.
GAGAUAUUUCAUACAGUGUGGCACUCCUGUUGCUGGGAACGACAACAGUUUAACACAUGAGAAGAUAGUCAAGCCUCUUAGAGCUGUGAGGCUGUGCAGCCCAUUUGGCAGAUUCUCCAAAUUAGGACAAAAAGAUAUCUUAAAAGUUUGAAGAUUGCAAGGUAAUUGCCCUACCUCUCCCUCUACCAAUGACACCAGUUGCUCGCAGCUCCUAAUCUCUAAAUGCUUUAGAUGAACAAUCUUGUCUAAACUAGUUCUAUCCUUCCAAAAAUACUUCAAUUCAUAACAAAGACAAAUCAUCAAUUCUUUAAGUGCCACCAACUCCUCUAUGUGAGCUUCAUGUAAACUUACAAGACCAAAGACGUUAUCAAUAUGCAAGGUAGCAAGAGAUGUGAGAUCAGACAGAUUUCUAAGAACAACCUCUUGACAGAAUUCAAUUGACAGUUCUUGCAGAGAUUGUAGACAGUUGGGCAAUUCACUAACAAGUUUCGGACAAUUUCGCAAUUUAAGCUUAUGUAGAAUAGGAAGUGUUACUGAAGCCUCCCCAUUCUGAUCAUGAGACCAAGACCAUUGCU